RNAcentral lists this ribosomal RNA (445 nucleotides) under uncultured bacterium. Its description in RNAcentral is "bacterial SSU rRNA". It matches the Rfam family "Bacterial small subunit ribosomal RNA", at positions 9 to 437 of the family's 1533-position model. The record is from RNAcentral.
GAGUUUGAUCGUGGCUCAGGACGAACGCUGGCGGCGCGCCUAACACAUGCAAGUCGAACGGAGCUUAGAUUUUGAAGUUUUCGGAUGGACGAAUGUAAGCUUAGUGGCGGACGGGUGAGUAACACGUGAGCAACCUGCCUUUCAGAGGGGGAUAACAGCCGGAAACGGCUGCUAAUACCGCAUAAUGUUGCGGGGGCACAUGCCCCUGCAACCAAAGGAGCAAUCCGCUGAAAGAUGGGCUCGCGUCCGAUUAGCCAGUUGGCGGGUAACGGCCCACCAAAGCGACGAUCGGUAGCCGGACUGAGAGGUUGAACGGCCACAUUGGGACUGAGACACGGCCCAGACUCCUACGGGAGCAGCAGUGGGGGAUAUUGCACAAUGGGCGAAAGCCUGAUGCAGCGACGCCGCGUGAGGGAAGACGGUCUUCGGAUUGUAAACCUCUGUC